CCAAUAGCGUAUAUUAAAGUUGUUGCAGUUAAAAAGCUCGUAGUUGAACCUUAGGCCCGUGCGGGCGGUCCGUCCUCUGGGCGAGCACUGCCUCGUCGCGGGUCUCACCUUCUGGCGAGCGUGGAUGCCAUUCACUUGGUGUCUGCGGGAACCAGGACCUUUACCUUGAAAAAAUUAGAGUGCUCAAAGCGGGCUCUUACGCUUGAAUACAUUAGCAUGGAAUAAUGAAAUAGGACGACUGUUCUAUUUUGUUGGUUUCCGGGACGGUCGUAAUGAUUAAUAGGGAUAGUUGGGGGCAUUCGUAUUCAAUUGUCAGAGGUGAAAUUCUUGGAUUUAUUGAAGACGGACUACUGCGAAAGCAUUUGCCAAGGAUGUUUUCAUUAAUCAAGAACGAAAGUUGGGGGAUCGAAGACGAUCAGAUACCGUCGUAGUCUCAACCAUAAACUAUGCCGACUGGGAAUCGGGCGAUGUUAUUUUUCGUGACUCGCUCGGCGCCCCGAG
Molecule: ribosomal RNA, 501 nt
Filed under: uncultured Glomeromycotina
Lineage: Eukaryota; Fungi; Glomeromycota
Description: partial small subunit ribosomal RNA
Rfam family: Eukaryotic small subunit ribosomal RNA
Source: RNAcentral